Molecule: non-coding RNA, 69 nt
Organism: Podarcis lilfordi (Lilford's wall lizard)
Lineage: Eukaryota; Metazoa; Chordata; Lepidosauria; Squamata; Lacertidae
Source: the annotation of a GenBank genome assembly
GUAAUAGCUCAGGGGUGGAGCAGCUGCUUGGCAUGCAGAAGGUCCCAGGUUAAAUCUCCGCUGGCAGCA